This 253-nucleotide ribosomal RNA is filed under the name uncultured bacterium. RNAcentral's name for it is "partial 16S ribosomal RNA". It matches the Rfam family "Bacterial small subunit ribosomal RNA", at positions 524 to 776 of the family's 1533-position model. The record is from RNAcentral.
UACGUAGGGCGCAAGCGUUGUCCGGAAUUAUUGGGCGUAAAGAGCUCGUAGGCGGUUCGGUAAGUCUGUCGUGAAAUCCUGAGGCUCAACCUCGGGCGUGCGAUGGAUACUGCCGGGCUAGAGGGUGGUAGAGGCGAGUGGAAUUCCCGGUGUAGCGGUGAAAUGCGCAGAUAUCGGGAGGAACACCAGUAGCGAAGGCGGCUCGCUGGGCCACACCUGACGCUGAGACGCGAAAGCUAGGGGAGCGAACAGG